This 301-nucleotide ribosomal RNA is filed under the name uncultured bacterium. Its description in RNAcentral is "partial 16S ribosomal RNA". It matches the Rfam family "Bacterial small subunit ribosomal RNA", at positions 509 to 807 of the family's 1533-position model. The record is from RNAcentral.
CAGUCGCCGCGGUAAUGCGUAGGUGGCAAGCGUUGUCCGGAAUUAUUGGGCGUAAAGGGCUCGCAGGCGGUUUCUUAAGUCUGAUGCGAAAGCCCCCGGCUCAACCGGGGAGGGUCAUUGGAAACUGGGAAACUUGAGUGCAGAAGAGGAGAGUGGAAUUCCACGUGUAGUGGUGAAAUGCGUAGAGAUGUGGAGGAACACCAGUGGCGAAGGCGACUCUCUGGUCUGUAACUGACGCUGAGGAGCGAAAGCGUGGGGAGCGAACAGGAUUAGAUACCCGAGUAGUCCCUGUCUCUUAUAC